UACGUAGGGCGCAAGCGUUGUCCGGAAUUAUUGGGCGUAAAGAGCUCGUAGGCGGCUUGUCACGUCGGGUGUGAAAAGCCCCGGGGCUUAACCCCGGGUCUGCAUUCGAUACGGGCAGGCUAGAGUGUGGUAGGGGAGAUCGGAAUUCCUGGUGUAGCGGUGAAAUGCGCAGAUAUCAGGAGGAACACCGGUGGCGAAGGCGGAUCUCUGGGCCAUUACUGACGCUGAGGAGCGAAAGCGUGGGGAGCAAACAGG
Molecule: ribosomal RNA, 255 nt
Filed under: uncultured bacterium
Lineage: Bacteria
Description: partial 16S ribosomal RNA
Rfam family: Bacterial small subunit ribosomal RNA
Source: RNAcentral